This 492-nucleotide ribosomal RNA is filed under the name uncultured bacterium. RNAcentral's name for it is "partial 16S ribosomal RNA". It matches the Rfam family "Bacterial small subunit ribosomal RNA", at positions 29 to 507 of the family's 1533-position model. The record is from RNAcentral.
AGUGAACGCUGGCGGUAGGCCUAACACAUGCAAGUCGAACGGCAGCACAGUAAGAGUUUGCUCUUAAGGGUGGCGAGUGGCGGACGGGUGAGGAAUACAUCGGAAUCUACUUUUUCGUGGGUGAUAACGUAGGGAAACUUACGCUAAUACCGCAUACGACCUACGGGUGAAAGCAGGGGAUCUUCGGACCUUGCGCGAUUGAAUGAGUCGAUGUCGGAUUAGCUAGUUGGCGGGGUAAAGGCCCACCAAGGCGACGAUCCGUAGCUGGUCUGAGAGGAUGAUCAGCCACACUGGAACUGAGACACGGUCCAGACUCCUACGGGAGGCAGCAGUGGGGAAUAUUGGACAAUGGGCGCAAGCCUGAUCCAGCCAUACCGCGUGGGUGAAGAAGGCCUUCGGGUUGUAAAGCCCUUUUGUUGGGAAAGAAAAGCAGCAGGUUAAUACCCCGCUGUUCUGACGGUACCCAAAGAAUAAGCACCGGCUAACUUCGUG